UGAGGGAAUAUUGGGGUCAAUGGGCGAGAGCCUGAACCAGCCAAGUCGCGUGAAGGAUGAAGGUUCUAUGGAUUGUAAACUUCUUUUAUUCGAGGGUAAAGUGAGGUAUGUAUACCUUAUUGCAAGUAUCGAAUGAAUAAGCAUCGGCUAACUCCGUGCCAGCAGCCGCGGUAAUACGGAGGAUGCGAGCGUUAUCCGGAUUUAUUGGGUUUAAAGGGUGCGUAGGCGGACGAUUAAGUCAGCGGUGAAAGCGUGUGGCUCAACCAUACCACUGCCGUUGAUACUGGUUGUCUUGAGUGUAAACGAGGUAGGCGGAAUGCGAGGUGUAGCGGUGAAAUGCAUAGAUAUCGCGCAGAACUCCGAUUGCGAAGGCAGCGUACUAUUCUCCAACUGACGCUGAGGCACGAAAGCGUGGGGAUCGAACAGGAUUAGAUACCCUGGUAGU
Molecule: ribosomal RNA, 445 nt
Filed under: uncultured Parabacteroides sp.
Lineage: Bacteria; Pseudomonadati; Bacteroidota; Bacteroidia; Bacteroidales; Tannerellaceae
Description: bacterial SSU rRNA
Rfam family: Bacterial small subunit ribosomal RNA
Source: RNAcentral